This 1023-nucleotide long non-coding RNA is filed under the name Heterocephalus glaber (naked mole-rat). Its description in RNAcentral is "lncRNA (ENSHGLG00000046823.1)". The record is from RNAcentral. Lineage: Eukaryota; Metazoa; Chordata; Mammalia; Rodentia; Bathyergidae.
AACCUUUCCAUGUCUAAGGUUUAUAGCUUCAGCCGUACUUGAUUUAUAUAAGCAAAAAGAAAAACCUUAGCAGUAUUUUUUAUAACUGCAGAAGCAUAUUUAUUCCAUUUUCACAUAACUCACACAUAGCUAGACAGAUUCUGCUUAAGCCUUCAAAAGAAAUUCCAUUUUAGACUAGACACUAAUGUGGAAAACUGGAGACCACAUGACUUCACGUAUCUAGAAGAGACACUGGAGGCAAUCGGGAAGGAAUUCGGUGGUGUGGUCCUUCCACAGUGAGAGGUGAAAUAAGAAAACCUCCAAAUAUGCUUCCCUCCCAACUGCUUUCCCUGAGUUAUCAGCCAGCCACCUGACCACAUCAGAAGCAGAAAGGAGGCUUUGGGCGUCCAGCCAGGGACAACAACAUUAGCUGUGGUGGAAAACAUCACCAAAGAAGUACAGCUCAUGCAAACGAAAUUUCUGAGAAAAAUCCAGGAAAGAAAGACCCGGAGGUGUGAGAUCACAGUGACUUGAUUCAGGGCAGAAGACAUCUUUAUGUGCAUGCUGAGGGAUGUUGUGGAUCUUGUAGACUGCGUAACCAUCUUUGGGCAAGUUACCCAUGACUUCAUCUGGAUUGAAAAUGACAGGACAUCCCGAUGUGAAGUGACUAAGAGGAGAGCAGUAGGCAGCCUGGCAUCCUCCCAUUCCUCAUGCAGAAGAGGGGGACUUCUCUGCAGAGGAGGAAAAACAAAGCCCAGCCAUCUGGAGGAUGCAACUGAGGCUGAACAUGGGGACCUGGCUGGCUGACUGCUGUAUUUCUCACUGGAUUCUCGGCUGUGUCUGACGGUCAUCCUUGCCUGAGUCAUGACUGAUGGAGUAUGUGUCCAUCUGCAGUGAUUGGUUCCGGAGGAAAUUUCUCCAGGUACCCUACAGCCGUCUUCUGAACAAGAAGGAACAUUCUUUCAGUCUUGGAAGCUACUGAGACUGAGUUGAGAAGAGCCUGAGUUGAGAGGCUCUGAUCACUCCAGAGUUGCACAGGAAUGC